CAUGUUUUUCUUAUCAAAGCUCCGGCGGUGCAGGAUGGACCCGCGUCUGAUUAGCUAGUUGGUGAGGUAAUGGCUCACCAAGGCGACGAUCAGUAGCCGACCUGAGAGGGUGAUCGGCCACAUUGGAACUGAGACACGGUCCAAACUCCUACGGGAGGCAGCAGUGGGGAAUAUUGCACAAUGGGCGAAAGCCUGAUGCAGCAACGCCGCGUGAGCGAUGAAGGCCUUCGGGUCGUAAAGCUCUGUCCUCAAGGAAGAUAAUGACGGUACUUGAGGAGGAAGCCCCGGCUAACUACGUGCCAGCAGCCGCGGUAAUACGUAGGGGGCUAGCGUUAUCCGGAUUUACUGGGCGUAAAGGGUGCGUAGGCGGUCUUUUAAGUCAGGAGUGAAAGGCUACGGCUCAACCGUAGUAAGCUCUUGAAACUGGAGGACUUGAGUGCAGGAGAGGAGAGUGGAAUUCCUAGUGUAGCGGUGAAAUGCGUAGAUAUUAGGAGGAACACCAGUAGCGAAGGCGGCUCUCUGGACUGUAACUGACGCUGAGGCACGAAAGCGUGGGGAGCAAACAGGAUUAGAUACCCUGGUAGUCCACGCCGUAAACGAUGAGUGGUAGCUGUCGGAGGUUACCCCCUUCGGUGGCGCAG
Molecule: ribosomal RNA, 641 nt
Filed under: uncultured bacterium
Lineage: Bacteria
Description: bacterial SSU rRNA
Rfam family: Bacterial small subunit ribosomal RNA
Source: RNAcentral